Molecule: ribosomal RNA, 1402 nt
Filed under: metagenome
Description: SSU rRNA
Rfam family: Microsporidia small subunit ribosomal RNA
Source: RNAcentral
CCAGGUUGAUUCUGCCUGACGUGUACGCUAGUCUUGAAGAUUUAGCCAUGCAAGCUCGCGAAGCCUAGUGCGGAGCGGCAGACAGCUCAGUAAUACAGUUAUUAUUUACUCGUGGUAAAUAUAUGGAUAACCAUGGUAAGCUAUGGCUAAUACAUGGACAGGUUAUGCCUUCGGUGAAACAGGUGUAACGGACAGACACGACCACGACUAAGUUUCUGGCCUAUUAGCUAUUCUAUGUACGGCAACGGCGUACAUUGGCGAUGAUGGGUAACGGGGGAUCAGGGUCUGAUACCGGAGAGGGAGCCUGAGAAACAGCUCCCACGUCUAAGGAUGGCAGCAGGCGCGAAAAUUACCCAAUUCCUUAACGGGAGAGGUAGUGAAGAGACAUGAGAUUUAUCUACAGACCGGAUAGUAAAGACAUCCGGGAUCGAUUGGAGGGCAAGUCUGGUGCCAGCAGCCGCGGUAAUUCCAGCUCCAAGAGCGUAUAUACAUAUUGCUGCAGUUAAAAAGUCCGUAGUUGAUCACUUCGACACUGUGAGUAAAUUAUAGUUCUCAAAGCAAGUUUUUGAGUAAUUUAGCAUGGGACGUUGCGAAGAUAGGAACAGUUGAUGGCAACAGUAUUCGGCAGCUAGAGGUGAAAAUUGAUGACCUGCUGAGGACUACCUGAAGCGAAGGCGGUUGUCAAGGAUGUUUCCGUUAAUAAAGGACUUAAGCCGGUGGAUCGAAGAUGAUUAGAGACCGUCGUAGUUCCGGCUGUAAACUAUGCCUACUGGGUGAGGCCAUUUGGCUGUGCCCUACGAGAAAUCAAGAGUUUAUGGGCUCUGGGGAAAGUACGUCCUCACGGAUGAAACUUAAAGAAAUUGACGGAAGGACACCACAAAGAGUGGAGUGUGCGGCUUAAUUUGACUCAACGCGGGGCAACUUACCAGGGCCGAAUGCGCAGGAGAUUGGCGAUCUGAGAGGAUCCCCAUGAUUGCGCAGAAAGUGGUGCAUGGCCGUUUUCAACACGUGGCGCGAGCUGUCUGGUUAAUUCCGACAACGUGUGAGGCCCAAGGAACAAGAGAUUGUUCGACGAAUAGCGGCAAGCUAUAGGAAGCUGGGCGAUAACAGGUCAGUGAUGCCCUUAGAUGUUCUGGGCUGCACGCGCACUACAAUGGCACAGGGAGACUAUUGGCCGAAAGGCCAUGUGUAAGCUGUGCCGAAGCUGGGAUAAGAUCUUGUAAAUGAUCUUUGAACGAGGAAUUCUUAGUAAUCGCAAGUCACCAUGUUGCGAUGAAUGCGUCCCUGUUCUCUGUACACACCGCCCGUCACUAUUUAAGAUGGAUGUAUAGGUGAAAUGGCUGGACGCGAGGAAGGCAGUUGAACCUGUGCAACUAGAUAAGAUAUAAGUCGUAACAAGGCU